UACAGAGGGUGCAAGCGUUGUUCGGAAUUAUUGGGCGUAAAGGGCGCGUAGGCGGUGCGGUAAGUCUGUAGUGAAAUCUCUGGGCUCAACUCAGAGUCUGCUGCAGAAACUGCCGUGCUUGAGUGUGGGAGAGGUGAGUGGAAUUCCCGGUGUAGCGGUGAAAUGCGUAGAUAUUCGGGAGGAACACCUGUGGCGAAAGCGGCUCACUGGACCACAACUGACGCUGGAGGCGCGAAAAGCUAGGGGAGCAAACAGG
RNAcentral lists this ribosomal RNA (256 nucleotides) under uncultured bacterium. Its description in RNAcentral is "partial 16S ribosomal RNA". It matches the Rfam family "Bacterial small subunit ribosomal RNA", at positions 524 to 776 of the family's 1533-position model. The record is from RNAcentral.